CUUGCCCACAGCAUCUGGCGAAGGGAAACCCAGAUGUCCACACGUUAAAUCUUUGGUGGUGCAGCAUUUCCUAAGAGGCUAAAGAUAGCCCUCUCCCCCCUCUGGAAUCCUCUUUCAAACCUCUGGCAUUCAUUUUUCAAGUUCUGAUGCUCAUGAGCAGGUUUGAAAGCUUUAGCAUCUCCCCUUCCUAAAAUUAACAUGGCAAGAAUUUCCAAGUGGUCUGGGGUUGACAGCACUCAGCACCUGCAAGGGUAAGCUCCCUUGCAAGAGAGGCCUUGGGGAAUUUCCACAGAGACAGUUCCAAGAGAAAUAAAUUGUGGU
This 321-nucleotide long non-coding RNA is filed under the name Cricetulus griseus (Chinese hamster). RNAcentral describes it as "lncRNA (ENSCGRG00015037331.1)". Lineage: Eukaryota; Metazoa; Chordata; Mammalia; Rodentia; Cricetidae. The record is from RNAcentral.